RNAcentral lists this ribosomal RNA (337 nucleotides) under uncultured soil bacterium. RNAcentral's name for it is "bacterial SSU rRNA". It matches the Rfam family "Bacterial small subunit ribosomal RNA", at positions 26 to 362 of the family's 1533-position model. The record is from RNAcentral.
AGAUUGAACGCUGGCGGCAUGCCUUACACAUGCAAGUCGAACGGCAGCACGGGAGCAAUCCUGGUGGCGAGUGGCGAACGGGUGAGUAAUACAUCGGAACGUGCCCAAUCGUGGGGGAUAACGCAGCGAAAGCUGUGCUAAUACCGCAUAAGAUCUACGGAUGAAAGCAGGGGAUCGCAAGACCUUGCGCGAAUGGAGCGGCCGAUGGCAGAGUUAGGUAGUUGGUGAGGUAAGCUCACCAAGCCUUCGAUCUGUAGCUGGUCUGAGGACGCGACCAGCCACACGUGGGACUGACGACACCGGCCAGACCUCCGACGGGAGGCAGCGAGUAGGGAAU